ACUGCGAAUGGCUCAUUAAAUCAGUUAUCGUUUAUUUGAUAGYACCNUUACUACAUGGAUACCUGUGGUAAUUCUAGAGCUAAUACAUGCUUAAAACCCCGACUUCGGNAAGGGGUGUAUUUAUUAGAUAAAAAACCAACGCCCUUCGGGGCUUCUUGGUGAAUCAUAAUAACUUAACGAAUCGCAUGGCCUUGCGCCGGCGAUGGUUCAUUCAAAUUUCUGCCCUAUCAACUUUCGAUGGUAGGAUAGUGGCCUACCAUGGUGGCAACGGGUAACGGGGAAUUAGGGUUCGAUUCCGGAGAGGGAGCCUGAGAAACGGCUACCACAUCCAAGGAAGGCAGCAGGCGCGCAAAUUACCCAAUCCCGAUACGGGGAGGUAGUGACAAUAAAUACUGAUACGGGGCUCUUUUGGGUCUCGUAAUUGGAAUGAGAACAAUUUAAAUCCCUUAACGAGGAACAAUUGGAGGGCAAGUCUGGUGCCAGCAGCCGCGGUAAUUCCAGCUCCAAUAGCGUAUAUUAAAGUUGUUGCAGUUAAAAAGCUCGUAGUUGAACCUUGGGUUCGGCUGGCCGGUCCGCCUCACCGCGAGUACUGGUCCGGCCGGACCUUUCCUUCUGGGGAACCUCAUGGCCUUCACUGGCUGUGGGGGGAACCAGGACUUUUACUGUGAAAAAAUUAGAGUGUUCAAAGCAGGCCUUUGCUCGAAUACAUUAGCAUGGAAUAAUAGAAUAGGACGUGUGGUUCUAUUUUGUUGGUUUCUAGGACCGCCGUAAUGAUUAAUAGGGAUAGUCGGGGGCGUCAGUAUUCAGCUGUCAGAGGUGAAAUUCUUGGAUUUGCUGAAGACUAACUACUGCGAAAGCAUUCGCCAAGGAUGUUUUCAUUAAUCAGGGAACGAAAGUUAGGGGAUCGAAGACGAUCAGAUACCGUCGUAGUCUUAACCAUAAACUAUGCCGACUAGGGAUCGGACGGGAUUCUAUGAUGACCCGUUCGGCACCUUACGAGAAAUCAAA
RNAcentral lists this ribosomal RNA (1008 nucleotides) under Penicillium charlesii. Its description in RNAcentral is "SSU rRNA". It matches the Rfam family "Eukaryotic small subunit ribosomal RNA", at positions 86 to 1113 of the family's 1831-position model. Lineage: Eukaryota; Fungi; Ascomycota; Eurotiomycetes; Eurotiales; Aspergillaceae. The record is from RNAcentral.